Molecule: non-coding RNA, 93 nt
Filed under: Paraburkholderia fungorum
Lineage: Bacteria; Pseudomonadati; Pseudomonadota; Betaproteobacteria; Burkholderiales; Burkholderiaceae
Source: RNAcentral
CUCUAUGGGCGGGCCGUGGUGAGGGGGCCGCAAGGUCCGCCGGUUUGGUUCAUCUCCCGGUCUGUCAACCUCGCUACGUGCCCGCUCACCCCA